Molecule: ribosomal RNA, 495 nt
Filed under: uncultured bacterium
Lineage: Bacteria
Description: partial 16S ribosomal RNA
Rfam family: Bacterial small subunit ribosomal RNA
Source: RNAcentral
AUGAACGCUGGCGGCGUGCCUAAUACAUGCAAGUCGAGCGCACGGACGAGAAGCUUGCUUCUCUGAUGUUAGCGGCGGACGGGUGAGUAACACGUGGAUAACCUACCUAUAAGCCUGGGAUAACUUCGGGAAACCGGAGCUAAUACCGGAUGAUAUUUUGAACCGCAUGGUUCAAAAGUGAAAGACGGUCUUGCUGUCACUUAUAGAUGGAUCCGCGCUGCAUUAGCUAGUUGGUAAGGUAACGGCUUACCAAGGCAACGAUGCAUAGCCGACCUGAGAGGGUGAUCGGCCACACUGGAACUGAGACACGGUCCAGACUCCUACGGGAGGCAGCAGUAGGGAAUCUUCCGCAAUGGGCGAAAGCCUGACGGAGCAACGCCGCGUGAGUGAUGAAGGUCUUCGGAUCGUAAAACUCUGUUAUUAGGGAAGAACAUAUGUGUAAGUAACUGUGCACAUCUUGACGGUACCUAAUCAGAAAGCCACGGCUAACUACGU